AUGGACUUGAAAGGUGUAUGGCAGGCAAUGGAGGAAUGUCAUCGCCUUGGCCUUGCUAAAAUGAUUGGUGUUAGCAAUUUCACAACGAAGAAAUUGCAGGAGCUACUUGCAAUUGCAGAAAUCCCCCCAGCAGUGAAUCAGGUUGAGUUGAAUCCAGCUUGGCAGCAGAAAAAACUGAUUGAAUUCUGCAAAGAGAAAGGAAUUCAUGUGACUGCUUAUUCUCCCCUGGGAGGCCAAAGCAGGACAUCCAAAAUCAAUGCCGUGCUACAGUCUGAAAUUCUGAAAGAGAUUGCCGAAGCUAGAGGAAAAUCCAUAGCUCAGAUCUCACUGAGAUGGAUCUUCGAGCAAGGAGCGAGCAUGGUAGCCAAGAGUAUGAAAAAGGAGAGGCUUCAGGAGAACCUCGAAAUCUUUGACUGGGAACUGACCGACGAAGACCGGUUCAAGAUUACCCAGAUACCGCAGUACAAGAAGGUCACGGUGUUGGCGAUCCUCUGCCCUGAAGGUGUCCCUGGCGUCGAUCUUUCAGAGGUUGAUGUUGUUGAAACGUAG
Molecule: ribosomal RNA, 549 nt
Filed under: Triticum aestivum (bread wheat)
Lineage: Eukaryota; Viridiplantae; Streptophyta; Magnoliopsida; Poales; Poaceae
Description: partial small subunit ribosomal RNA
Source: RNAcentral